GACGAACGCUGGCGGCGUGCUUAACACAUGCAAGUCGAGCGGAGCGGCGAACGGGUGAGUAACGCGUGAGUAACUGCCCCCCUCCCUGGGAUAACAGUUGGAAACGGCUGCUAAUACCGGAUAGUGGGGGAUGACUCGCGUCCUAUCAGCGUGUUGGUGGGGUACUGGCCUACCAAGGCGACUACGGGUAGCCGGCCUGAGAGGGCGACCGGCCACAUUGGGCUGAGAUACUGCCCAAACUCCUACGGGAGGCAGCAGUGGGGAAUAUUGCACCAUGGGGGAAGCCCUGAUGCAGCAACGCGCGUGCGGGAUGACGGCCUUCGAGUUGUAAACCGCUUUCAGCCAUGACGCGGUAAUAGCAGAAGAAGCACCGGCUAACGACGUGCCAACAGCCGCAGUAGUUC
RNAcentral lists this ribosomal RNA (404 nucleotides) under uncultured bacterium. RNAcentral's name for it is "partial 16S ribosomal RNA". It matches the Rfam family "Bacterial small subunit ribosomal RNA", at positions 28 to 526 of the family's 1533-position model. The record is from RNAcentral.